This 310-nucleotide ribosomal RNA is filed under the name Escherichia coli. RNAcentral describes it as "partial 23S ribosomal RNA". It matches the Rfam family "Bacterial large subunit ribosomal RNA", at positions 1088 to 1396 of the family's 2925-position model. The record is from RNAcentral. Lineage: Bacteria; Pseudomonadati; Pseudomonadota; Gammaproteobacteria; Enterobacterales; Enterobacteriaceae.
GACAGCCAGGAUGUUGGCUUAGAAGCAGCCAUCAUUUAAAGAAAGCGUAAUAGCUCACUGGUCGAGUCGGCCUGCGCGGAAGAUGUAACGGGGCUAAACCAUGCACCGAAGCUGCGGCAGCGACGCUGAUGCGUUGUUGGGUAGGGGAGCGUUCUGUAAGCCUGCGAAGGUGUACUGUGAGGUAUGCUGGAGGUAUCAGAAGUGCGAAUGCUGACAUAAGUAACGAUAAAGCGGGUGAAAAGCCCGCUCGCCGGAAGACCAAGGGUUCCUGUCCAACGUUAAUCGGGGCAGGGUGAGUCGACCCCUAAGG